Molecule: long non-coding RNA, 384 nt
Filed under: Mytilus galloprovincialis (Mediterranean mussel)
Lineage: Eukaryota; Metazoa; Mollusca; Bivalvia; Mytilida; Mytilidae
Source: RNAcentral
GUCCAAUGGAAAAGUCGAAGCCCAAAAAAGAUGAACAGUGCAUUAUAGAAACAUAGAAGCUGGUUGCAAAAGUUGACGACAAGAUCUAUUUUAUAACUUGAGUAUGGCCUAAUACUAUUAACCUGAAAUAAAUAUAUUUAUAGCAAUUCCCUUGAUACGAAAGAUCUACAUGUUGCCUUGGGCUUUUUUUUUUUCUUUUUUUUUUUUGCUCUUUGGUUGGGUUUUUGUCUCAAUGACAAUUCAAUUUUCAUUCUUAUCAUAGAUAUAACUGCAUGUUAAAAUAAGAAUAUGAAGUGUGAUAGACAAUCAGACACAUUCUUUCCAGGGACCAACAGGCGUUAUCAAGCUAUAGGUCCCCGUAUGGCCUUCGACCAUUAGCAAAAU